This 542-nucleotide ribosomal RNA is filed under the name uncultured Deinococcus sp. RNAcentral describes it as "bacterial SSU rRNA". It matches the Rfam family "Bacterial small subunit ribosomal RNA", at positions 327 to 873 of the family's 1533-position model. Lineage: Bacteria; Thermotogati; Deinococcota; Deinococci; Deinococcales; Deinococcaceae. The record is from RNAcentral.
CCUACGGGAGGCUACGGGAGGCAGCAGUUAGGAAUCUUCGGCAAUGGGCGCAAGCCUGACCGAGCGACGGAGCGUGGAGGAUGAAGGUUUUCGGAUCGUAAUCUCCUGAACCUGCGACGAUAAUGACGGUAGCAGAAUAAUAGCACCGGCUAACUCCAGCACAGCAGCCGCGGUAAUACGGAGGGUGCGAGCGUUAUCCGGAAUCACUGGGCGUAAAGGGAGCGUAGGCGGUUUGUUAAGUCCGAUGUUAAAGCGUGGGGCUCAACCCCAUCACGGCGUUGGAUACUGGCAAGCUUGACGACUGGAGAGGAAGGUAGAAUUACCAGUGUAGCGGUGGAAUGAGUAGAUGAUGGUAGGAAUACCCAUAGCGAAGGCAGCCUUCUGGACAGUUAGUGACGCUGAGGCGCGAAAGUGUGGGGAACAAGCCGGAUUAGAUCACCGGGUAGUCCACUCCCUAAACGAUGCAGGCUUGGUGUUGGCCCGUUGGGGUCAGCGCCGGAGCUAACGCGUUAAGUAUGCCGCCUGGAAGAGGGCAACAGGGC